GACGAACGCUGGCGGCGUGCCUAAUACAUGCAAGUAGAACGCUGAAGGCGGAGCUUGCUCUUCUGGAUGAGUUGCGAACGGGUGAGUAACGCGUAGGUAACCUGCCUGGUAGCGGGGGAUAACUAUUGGAAACGAUAGCUAAUACCGCAUAACAGUAGAUGUUGCAUGACAUUUACUUAAAAGGUGCAAUUGCAUCACUACCAGAUGGACCUGCGUUGUAUUAGCUAGUUGGUGGGGUAACGGCUCACCAAGGCGACGAUACAUAGCCGACCUGAGAGGGGGAUCGGCCACACUGAGACGGAGACACGGCCCAGACGCCUACGGGAGGCAGCAGUAGGGAAUCUUCGGCAAGGGACGGAAGUCUGACCGAGCAACGCCGCGUGAGUGAAGAAGGUUUUCGGAUCGGAAAGCUCUGUUGUAAGAGAAGAACGAGUGUGAGAGUGGAAAGUUCACACUGUGACGGUAUCUUACCAGAAAGGGACGGCUAACUACGUG
RNAcentral lists this ribosomal RNA (495 nucleotides) under uncultured bacterium. Its description in RNAcentral is "partial 16S ribosomal RNA". It matches the Rfam family "Bacterial small subunit ribosomal RNA", at positions 28 to 507 of the family's 1533-position model. The record is from RNAcentral.